This 468-nucleotide long non-coding RNA is filed under the name Anser brachyrhynchus (Pink-footed goose). RNAcentral's name for it is "lncRNA (ENSABRG00000019757.1)". The record is from RNAcentral. Lineage: Eukaryota; Metazoa; Chordata; Aves; Anseriformes; Anatidae.
AUGUUUAUUAUCAGAAAAUUCAAACAAGUACGGUCAGUGGCGGGUCCAUCGCUGCAUGGCAUCCCGCUGCACCCAGGAGCCGCAGUGCUUGGGGGCACGCGGGACGUGAGGGGAGCAGGUUACGAUGGGCUUCCUGCAACACCUGGAGAUUGGCGCUCGCUGCCGCCCUUCUGGAAGGUUCCACGCAGGGUGGGAACGCUGGCGGUGAGCCCAAACCUGAACGUGAAAGUUCUUAACAGUCGCUCAGAAGCAUGGAAAACCACUACUAAUAUAACAACAUUCAAUGAAUGUAACACCUGCGCUUUUCAUCAACGACCUUAAGCAGCACUUAAUUUUUCAUGUUUGCAGCAGACUUUCCACAACAAAAGCAGUGCUGAACUAUGAUCUAUUAUAUUUAUACAACUAUUGUACCGAAUAUCACUUAUUUACUAAAAUAAAAUUACCCUCUUCCCAAAUUCUUAUCUAUCU